UACGGAGGAUGCGAGCGGUAUCCGGAUUUAUUGGGUUUAAAGGGUGCGUAGGCGGAUCGUUAAGUCAGUGGUCAAAUUGAGGGGCUCAACCCCUUCCCGCCAUUGAAACUGGCGAUCUUGAGUGGAAGAGAAGUAUGCGGAAUGCGUGGUGUAGCGGUGAAAUGCAUAGAUAUCACGCAGAACCCCGAUUGCGAAGGCAGCAUGCCGGCUUCCGACUGACGCUGAAGCACGAAAGCGUGGGGAUCGAACAGG
This 252-nucleotide ribosomal RNA is filed under the name uncultured bacterium. RNAcentral's name for it is "partial 16S ribosomal RNA". It matches the Rfam family "Bacterial small subunit ribosomal RNA", at positions 524 to 776 of the family's 1533-position model. The record is from RNAcentral.